UCAAUAAUAUGUAAAAUUCGUGUCCUUCUCAAAUAGGUGUUAGUUGAGUAAUGGCCCUAAAAUUAUGCUCCUCUUCUUUCAACAUCUGAGUUUCCGCAGCCAUUCCUUAGCCAUGCAUGUUCCUAGAUUGGUUUUGUCUCUUUGACACCAAACUGUGAAUAGUAGAUAGUUAACCAGGCAUGGCCACUCGUUGUAAAUAGUUUCUCCUUAUGAGUUGCAACUGCUUGGAGGCAGCAAGUUAUCUUGUGGCUACUGCUCAUGCAUUGCCAUUAGGUGAAUUCGUCAACAGAGAACAUGGGAAUGCUGAGAUUUUGUGGCAGUCAGCUGAUGAUUCCCA
Molecule: long non-coding RNA, 337 nt
Filed under: Hordeum vulgare
Lineage: Eukaryota; Viridiplantae; Streptophyta; Magnoliopsida; Poales; Poaceae
Description: long non-coding RNA (HVUL_LNC011470)
Source: RNAcentral